GAUGAACGCUGGCGGCGUGCCUAAUACAUGCAAGUCGAGCGAACAGACGAGGAGCUUGCUCCUCUGACGUUAGCGGCGGACGGGUGAGUAACACGUGGAUAACCUACCUAUAAGACUGGGAUAACUUCGGGAAACCGGAGCUAAUACCGGAUAAUAUAUUGAACCGCAUGGUUCAAUAGUGAAAGACGGUUUUGCUGUCACUUAUAGAUGGAUCCGCGCCGCAUUAGCUAGUUGGUAAGGUAACGGCUUUCCAAGGCAACGAUGCGUAGCCGACCGGAGAGGGUGAGCGGCCACACUGGAACUGAGACACGGUCCAGACUCCUACGGGAGGCAGCAGUAGGGAAUCUUCCGCAAUGGGCGAAAGCCUGACGGAGCAACGCCGCGUGAGUGAUGAAGGUCUUCGGAUCGUAAAACUCUGUUAUUAGGGAAGAACAAAUGUGUAAGUAACUAUGCACGUCUUGACGGUACCUAAUCAGAAAGCCACGGCUAACUACGUGCCAGCCGCCGCGGUAA
This 513-nucleotide ribosomal RNA is filed under the name uncultured bacterium. RNAcentral's name for it is "partial 16S ribosomal RNA". It matches the Rfam family "Bacterial small subunit ribosomal RNA", at positions 28 to 523 of the family's 1533-position model. The record is from RNAcentral.